RNAcentral lists this unclassified non-coding RNA (234 nucleotides) under Hevea brasiliensis (rubber tree). Lineage: Eukaryota; Viridiplantae; Streptophyta; Magnoliopsida; Malpighiales; Euphorbiaceae. The record is from RNAcentral.
UUGAGCAUCGCUGUGCUUCGCUAAUCGUAUAGUGCUUAUUUUUGUCCGAUUUGGGUAAGUGAAAUCUAUGUAUAGCAUGUGUUUCGCUGGUCCAGUCCUUACUUCCUAUGAACUAUUGGCUGUCUUUCGGUAUUUGUAUUUUUUUGUUGUUUCAAAGGCUUCAUAUGUUGAUUUGAAAGUUUAAAUACUGGUAGUUGCCUGGAAGAUUGAAAAUUCAGAAUAUAUUAUAGUAUG